UAGGGACUAGAAUGAACGGCCAAACGAGGGCCCAACUGUCUCCUAUAGCCAACCAAUAAACCUGAUCUCUCAGUACAAAAGCUGAGAUAAACACAUUAGACGAGAAGACCCUGUGGAGCUUUAAGCCCAAGUGUCAACACCAAAACUACCAUUGACACACGCUUUCAGUUGGGGCGACUAUGGAGUAAAACAAAACCUCCACGAUAUUACCACAGCGUAACCUAGACCCACACGUCAACCCAUAAACACCACGACCCAGUCAAACUGAUCAACGAAACAAGUUACCCCAGGGAUAACAGCGCCAUCCUCCCCAAGAGCCCAUAUCGCCAGGAGGGCUUACGACCUCGAUGUUGGAUCAGGACACCCAGGUGGUGCAGCCGCUACCAAAGGUUCGUUUGUUCAACGACUAAUGUCCUACGUGAUCUGAGU
This 429-nucleotide ribosomal RNA is filed under the name Tarentola mauritanica (Moorish gecko). Its description in RNAcentral is "partial 16S ribosomal RNA". It matches the Rfam family "Bacterial large subunit ribosomal RNA", at positions 1981 to 2610 of the family's 2925-position model. The record is from RNAcentral. Lineage: Eukaryota; Metazoa; Chordata; Lepidosauria; Squamata; Phyllodactylidae.